This 755-nucleotide long non-coding RNA is filed under the name Marmota monax (woodchuck). The record is from RNAcentral. Lineage: Eukaryota; Metazoa; Chordata; Mammalia; Rodentia; Sciuridae.
CACUGCCUAUGAAGGCUCGGUUGGCUUUUACCUCUGUAAGUUCCUAAGGGCCGGCCAAUUAUUUCAGCGGGAUCGUUAGUGCUGAGUCACACGAAGCUGGCGAACCGGAGCUUAAUUGCCUCCGAUUCGGGCUCUGUGUGUGUGUUCUGAGGGGCCCAGCCUGUACACCCCAGAUCCACGUCAGCUCAGCAUUGCCUAGUGAUCCUGAGCAAACAGCAUUUAGACAGUUUACGGCUCCCUAUGCCCGCGCAGUUGAAGAUGUCAGAGACUUGAUCCCUCUGCGCCUGCCACCAUGUUACAUCUCCUCAGUGAUAUUCAUGUUGCCCUUACAGCUUCCUGGUAUAAGCAAGUUCUUGGGAUUAUACAAACUGCUGCUUCUGUUUCCAGUCCAGAUUUCUAGAAAUGAAACUCUGGGCCGCGCUGACGAGCGUCCGCGCUUGUCUGCGACCGUAGCAGAGCCGCCCUGGCAAGCGUCCGCGCUUGUCUGCGCCCGUAGCAGAGCCGCCCUGGCCUCCGCAGCUCUUCAGCCCGGUGCCAGGCCCCAGGGGCCCAAGCGGCUGCCGCCGCGGCUCUCCGUCCCCNAGCAUUUAGACAGUUUACGGCUCCCUAUGCCCGCGCAGUUGAAGAUGUCAGAGACUUGAUCUCUCUGCGCCUGCCACCAUGUUACAUCUCCUCAGUAAUAUUCAUGUUGCCCUUACAGCUUCCUGGUAUAAGCAAGUUCUUGGGAUUAUACAAACUGCUGCUUCUGUUUCCAG